UACAGAGGGUGCAAGCGUUGUUCGGAAUUAUUGGGCGUAAAGAGCUUGUAGGCGGUUUGUCGCGUCUGCCGUGAAAAUUCGAGGCUCAACCUCGAACUUGCGGUGGGUACGGGCAGACUAGAGUGUGGUAGGGGAGACUGGAAUUCCUGGUGUAGCGGUGAAAUGCGCAGAUAUCAGGAGGAACACCGAUGGCGAAGGCAGGUCUCUGGGCCACUACUGACGCUGAGAAGCGAAAGCAUGGGGAGCGAACAGG
Molecule: ribosomal RNA, 253 nt
Filed under: uncultured bacterium
Lineage: Bacteria
Description: partial 16S ribosomal RNA
Rfam family: Bacterial small subunit ribosomal RNA
Source: RNAcentral